Molecule: RNA transcript, 1202 nt
Organism: Dermochelys coriacea (leatherback sea turtle)
Lineage: Eukaryota; Metazoa; Chordata; Testudines; Dermochelyidae
Gene: HSCB
Gene name: HscB mitochondrial iron-sulfur cluster cochaperone
Exons: 7
Source: RefSeq, a predicted model, not a curated record
AUGUGGGUUGUGCGGUGGGGUCAGCUCUGCAGGGCGCUGUGGGGUUCUCGGGCUCCAGCCGCCUCUUCUCGGCCCCGUAGUGCAGAGCCCGGCUCCUUCCCCGCCCCACGCUGCUGGAGUUGUGGUAUCUCUCUCCCCGCUCCCGGGGGACUGCCUCGCUUCUGUCCGGCCUGCCAGGCCUUGCAGCCGCCGGAGUCCCAGCCUGACCUCUUCCGCCUGAUGGACUGCGAUCGCUCAUUCAACAUCAAUGUGCAGCAGCUGCAGCAGCGAUUCCGGAGCUUACAACGCUCCCUGCACCCCGAUUACUUCAGCCAGAGACCCCAGAAAGAGCGGGACUUCUCUGAUCAACACUCUUCCUUGGUUAACAGAGCCUACCAAACCCUUCUAAGUCCUCUGAGACGUGGAUUGUACCUACUGGAGCUGAAUGGAGUGGAACUGGCAAAAGGGACAGACCGUGACAUAGAUGUUGAGUUCCUCAAGGAAAUCAUGGAAAUCAAUGAGACACUGGCAGAACCUAAUAAUGAGGCUAAAAUAGAAGAGAUUGAAAGUUUCAUUGAAGUUAAACGAGAAGAAUUGACGAAGGAUGUAAGCAAAGCUUUUGAAAGAGGCAGGGUGACAAAAUGGUACCCUUUGGGACCCCACAAUUAACUGCACUUCGGGAAGAGGAGCAAUUGCUAACUACGGAGUGAGAUCUCUCCAAGAAAAGAGAACAAAGCCACUGAAGAGUAGCCUUCUCCACUCCUGCUAGGGUCUGCUGAUGAUCUUCAAGAAGCCAAGAAACUUCUAGCCAAAAUGAAAUACUUUGAAAACUUGGAGGACAAGGUGAAGAACAAGAAGAAUCCUUCCUGAUAUCACAUUCUUUGCCAUUAAGACCUGAUUCACUUUUGAUUAAAGUAGUGAUUUGUAGUUUCUGAUUCAGGAACUAAAAGCAGCACAAUCAUUGUGUGCCUCUUGAUUUUUUCGGUCCUUACUUACCUACUGAAACAGAAGAGUUGUGUAACAGACAUCCAUGUACCACCCAUUGUCAUUAGUUUGCAGUCUCGGAAGUGGAAUGUUGCUGGCAAUAAUGACCCUGUACUCCUGAAUUCCAACUGCUACCUUUGUGGCCACACUCCUUACUGUCAAUAUUUAUACAUUCUAUAUCUCAAACUGUAUAGCUACCUAUCCCUAGUGGACAAUAAAUGAGCAUGCAGAUCACUGUU